Molecule: non-coding RNA, 46 nt
Filed under: Schistosoma mansoni
Lineage: Eukaryota; Metazoa; Platyhelminthes; Trematoda; Strigeidida; Schistosomatidae
Source: RNAcentral
AUCUAGCUGACGAGUCCCGAAAUUGGAUGAAACGCUCUUCCUAGAU